RNAcentral lists this ribosomal RNA (109 nucleotides) under Streptococcus pneumoniae. Lineage: Bacteria; Bacillati; Bacillota; Bacilli; Lactobacillales; Streptococcaceae. The record is from RNAcentral.
AGUGACGAUAGCCUAGGAGAUACACCUGUACCCAUACCGAACACAGAAGUUAAGCCCUAGAACGCCGGAAGUAGUUGGGGGUUGCCCCCUGUGAGAUAGGGAAGUCGCU